CUGAAAUUCGCCUUCAUGAAGCCGGAAUUGCUAGUAAUGGCAGGUCAGCAUACUGCCGUGAAUACGUUCCCGGGCCUUGUACACACCGCCCGUCACACCAUGAGAGUUGGGAAUACCCGAAGCCUGUGAGCCAACGUAAGAGGCAGCAGUCGAAGGUAGAAUCAAUGAUUGGGGUGAAGUCGUAACAAGGUAAC
RNAcentral lists this ribosomal RNA (194 nucleotides) under uncultured bacterium. RNAcentral's name for it is "partial 16S ribosomal RNA". It matches the Rfam family "Bacterial small subunit ribosomal RNA", at positions 1305 to 1500 of the family's 1533-position model. The record is from RNAcentral.